GCCGUCUUAGCUCAGUGGCAGAGCGUCGCUCUCGUAAAGCGAAGGUCGGGU
This 51-nucleotide transfer RNA is filed under the name Allomyces macrogynus ATCC 38327. RNAcentral describes it as "tRNA-Thr". It matches the Rfam family "tRNA", at positions 1 to 50 of the family's 71-position model. From Rfam's summary of the family: Transfer RNA (tRNA) molecules are approximately 80 nucleotides in length. Their secondary structure includes four short double-helical elements and three loops (D, anti-codon, and T loops). Lineage: Eukaryota; Fungi; Blastocladiomycota; Blastocladiomycetes; Blastocladiales; Blastocladiaceae. The record is from RNAcentral.